This 72-nucleotide non-coding RNA is filed under the name unclassified sequences. Its description in RNAcentral is "DUF3800-X RNA". It matches the Rfam family "DUF3800-X RNA". The record is from Rfam by way of RNAcentral.
UGGUGAGUAAGUCCUCCCGAAAGGAUGAUGCCAUGUUGACAUGGGUGGGAGCGAGUAGGGAAGGGUUCACCA